GAUGAACGCUGGCGGCGUGCUUAACACAUGCAAGUCGAACGGAAAGGCUCCUGCUUGCAGGGGUACUCGAGUGGCGAACGGGUGAGUAACACGUGGGUGAUCUGCCCUGCACUUCGGGAUAAGCCUGGGAAACUGGGUCUAAUACCGGAUAGGACGAUGGUUUGGAUGCCAUUGUGGAAAGUUUUUCGGUGUGGGAUGAGCUCGCGGCCUAUCAGCUUGUUGGUGGGGUAAUGGCCUACCAAGGCGUCGACGGGUAGCCGGCCUGAGAGGGUGUACGGCCACAUUGGGACUGAGAUACGGCCCAGACUCCUACGGGAGGCAGCAGUGGGGAAUAUUGCACAAUGGGCGCAAGCCUGAUGCAGCGACGCCGCGUGGGGGAUGACGGCCUUCGGGUUGUAAACUCCUUUCGCUAGGGACGAAGCGCAAGUGGCGGUACCUGGAGAAGAAGCACCGGCUAACUACGUG
This 465-nucleotide ribosomal RNA is filed under the name uncultured bacterium. RNAcentral's name for it is "partial 16S ribosomal RNA". It matches the Rfam family "Bacterial small subunit ribosomal RNA", at positions 28 to 507 of the family's 1533-position model. The record is from RNAcentral.